GAUCAUGGUUCAGGAUGAACGCUAGCUACAGGCUUAACACAUGCAAGUCGAGGGGCAGCAUGGUCUUAGCUUGCUAAGGCCGAUGGCGACCGGCGCACGGGUAAGUAACACGUAUCCAACCUGCCGUCUACUCUUGGACAGCCUUCUGAAAGGAAGAUUAAUACAAGAUGGCAUCAUGAGUCCACAUGUUCACAUGAUUAAAGGUACUCCGGUAGACGAUGGGGAUGCG
This 229-nucleotide ribosomal RNA is filed under the name uncultured bacterium. Its description in RNAcentral is "partial 16S ribosomal RNA". It matches the Rfam family "Bacterial small subunit ribosomal RNA", at positions 15 to 235 of the family's 1533-position model. The record is from RNAcentral.